GAUGAACGCUGGCGGCGUGCCUAAUACAUGCGAGUCGAGCGAACAGACGAGGAGCUUGCUCCUCUGACGUUAGCGGCGGACGGGUGAGUAACACGUGGAUAACCUACCUAUAAGACUGGGAUAACUUCGGGAAACCGGAGCUAAUACCGGAUAAUAUAUUGAACCGCAUGGUUCAAUAGUGAAAGACGGUUUUGCUGUCACUUAUAGAUGGAUCCGCGCCGCAUUAGCUAGUUGGUAAGGUAACGGCUUACCAAGGCAACGAUGCGUAGCCGACCUGAGAGGGUGAUCGGCCACACUGGAACUGAGACACGGUCCAGACUCCUACGGGAGGCAGCAGUAGGGAAUCUUCCGCAAUGGGCGAAAGCCUGACGGAGCAACGCCGCGUGAGUGAUGAAGGUCUUCGGAUCGUAAAACUCUGUUAUUAGGGAAGAACAAAUGUGUAAGUAACUAUGCAUGUCUUGACGGUACCUAAUCAGAAAGCCACGGCUAACUACGUG
RNAcentral lists this ribosomal RNA (497 nucleotides) under uncultured bacterium. RNAcentral describes it as "partial 16S ribosomal RNA". It matches the Rfam family "Bacterial small subunit ribosomal RNA", at positions 28 to 507 of the family's 1533-position model. The record is from RNAcentral.